UGUAACAGUAUACUAGAAGGUCCACUCUAUGAUAUUUUGUAUAUAUAACCACAGAAUAUCUAGCUACGCUGAUAUUCUGUGAUAUAACCUUGAGCGAAAGUUUGUUGUUGGUAAAAGACCUCUCUUUACGGAAAAAAUUGUUGGAAUUGAACAACACAAGGAAACUUCUGAAAAUAAUAAAUUUCAUUGUAUAAAAUUUUUGUACAGAUUUGGUAAAUUAAGGAAACCAUAACUUUAACCCUCCAUAACUCCCCGACUAAGAGGUCAACUCCAGAAAUAUCUCACAUGGUGGGGCUCUGGGAUGUCCUUUAUCCAUCUAUAUAAAAAACUUGAUGAAUUAAAUUAUUUGUUUUUUGGGCUAAUGUCCUGCAUUUCCCGAUUUCGUUACACUGUGCGGCGUGCAGAGCGUUGCGAGUAAUUACGCGAGCGGAGCAGAAUGUGGGCGGAGAGGACAACAUUGCGGUAGCACGAGGAGUAGAGCGAUGAGCAGCGCGAGGAGCAUAGUGUGGCAAAGGCAUAACACCGGCUAUAAAUGGUAAUUGAAUUUAUCAAACGAUGUUCAAAUAAUAACGGACACAGUAAUAAUUUUUUGGGGUCUGGUAGACUUUAGCUACGUCAAAAUUUUCUAUAUAGAAUUAAGAAGAGGAACACUUAUAAUGACAUUUUCUAACGAAAAAAGUGCGGAUCGUCCAUAAAUAACACCAAAAACAAACCCCCC
Sitophilus oryzae (rice weevil) is the source of this 718-nucleotide long non-coding RNA. RefSeq lists it as uncharacterized. The transcript has 2 exons. The record is from RefSeq and is a predicted model, not a curated record. Lineage: Eukaryota; Metazoa; Arthropoda; Insecta; Coleoptera; Curculionidae.